AAAGAACAAAGCUGGAGGCAUCACACUACCUGACUUCAAACUAUACUACAAAGCUACAGUAACCACAAUCUUCAAUCUCAGUGGUUAAUGACCAACUGUUGGCAAAUGUUUUCUGUAAAUUUUAAAGAAGUUUUCUUUUUUUCUCCUCCGGCUUUGAAUUUGAAAUCUUUCAAACACAUAUAACAUUUGAAAGACUGUUAUGUAGUUUCACCAAUUUCUCUUGUGGAAUUUCUCUUCUAAUUCAGGUAUACUCUUUGGAGAUGGCUCAUUCCAGAGCAGGAGGGAUAGAAAGUAAGCCUGCAUUUUUUUUACUUGCCAGAAAGUAAGGAAAUGCUCAAAGACAAAUGGACACAUGUCAAAAGGGCAGAGAGCACAUGCAGGAGAUUGAUUGGAGAGUACUUUUCAUAAGAUCACCUGUAAGGGAGCGAGCAAAGCAGCACUGGCAGAGGAAGUUGAGUUGUGAUGCAGUUCAUCUUGUGCACAUGGAGAGUUCUGGACCUAGGAUGACCCUUCAGAGUGUUCUGAAUUGGGUCAAUUGAGCUGGGCCCUUAUACCCAACAUGGACCAGUCAUUUGAAGUGGGCUUCCCCUAGAGAGGGGACAUACCCUUGGGUGAGGAAGCUCCUUUCAUAGAAGGCAAUUCCUGGAGAGAUGCCAGUUGUGAGCUCCCACAUGCAACAUUCUUACAGCUGGGGAAGAGUGCAUUGGUACUAAAGUAAGUCCUGGACAGUACACCCGAGCAAUCCCUACCAUCGUUCACUAGCUUCAUAGAAUAUAUUCACCCCAUCUGGGAACAGAAGCUCUAGUAUUCUGAUUGGUCUCUUUUUCUGGAAAUACAGAGGAGAGUAUAACCUCAUCCUGGAGCAGGGCACCCUAUCGUCAGAUGGUAUCAUCUUUAAGGGGUUGUCUCAGCCAUGCCUUUAGAAUUACCUUUCAUUGCUUGUCAUGCUGGAAGCUUCUGAAUGUUGCAUUUUGUGAUAGAAACAGUGGGUACCAUGGUCAUGUGCUCACAUCUCCUUUGCGGUAAAGAAAAGGAUCACUCAUUAACAUCCACCAGAUAACAUUCUCCAUGAAAGCACCAAAUAAGGUUUGUCUUGGUCCAUUUUAUGCUGCUAUAACAGAACACCACAGACUGAGAAAUUUAUAAGGAAUAGAAGUUUAUUUGCCUCAUGUUUCUGGAGGCUGGGAAUUCCAAGAUCAAGGGGCUGCAUAGAUUGAGGUCCUUUUUGCUGACUCAUAACGUGGAAAGAGAGUGCACUGCAUAGAAGAAAGGAGGCCAAACUCAUUCUUUUAUCAUGAGCCUACUCCUGAAAUAACUCACUCUCAAGAUAAUGGCAUUAAUCCAUUCAUGAAGGCAGAAUACUCAUGAUGUAAUCACCUCUUAAAAGGUCCUAUUUCCUAACACUGUUGCAUUAGGGAUUAAGCUGUCAACACAUGAAUAUUGGGGGACACAUUCAAACCAUAGCAAGAGUUCUUUGUCUUUGUGACUCGGUGUGGUUCAGCAAAUUGCGAUUGGUCUGCUAUAGCGGACUUUCCCCUCACCUCCCAAAUGUUUAUUAUGAAAAAUUUCAUUUUAAAGAAAGGUGGAAGGAAUUGUUGAAAGAAUAUGUCAUCUAGUUUCUACUGUUGUUAACAUUGUGUCAUAUUUGCCUUUUCAUCCAUCCAACCACCCAUCCAUCUAGCUACCUUAUAAUUACUAUUAUUACUUAUUAUUACUAUUAUUUUUAAAGACACCUCUAUUAAAGCAACCAUCUUAUUUUUUGAUUUUAUUUAUUUUCAAAGUUAGUUGCAGACAUUAGUAUACUUUACUCCUAGACAUUUUAGCGUGAACAUAAUUAACUGGAGUAUAAUACUUGUUUUCAAUUUCUUUUUAUUUUUGAGGUAAAAUUUACAUACAGUGAAAUCCAAAUCUUAAGUGUACCACUAGAUAAAUUUUGAUAAAUGCAUUAUGCCUGGUCUUCACACACCCUUUUCAAUAUAUAGAAAAUUUCCAGAUAAUUUAUUUUGUUGUUUUUUUCACACACUAAGUUCUAGACUUUUCCAGGUCCGAGGGAACUAUUAGGGGGGAAAGUACUUGUUAUAGUAAAAAAGAUUUUAGGUGUGUUUGUUUUUAAGGUGCAGAAACACAUCGCAGAUUAAGGUCUGCAUCUCUGCUUUUUGUUAUUGUUCCAGUUUGAUCUCAGUGACAUUACAAGCAAGCAGAAACACUCAGACAUGAAAUGGCCAGUGCCUGUGAGUUAAGAGCAGGAUCUAGGUCUAUUUUUUUGAUAUGUAUCUCAACUACCUGGAAUACUUUAUACUUUUGGCACUCAAUAAAUAUUUGUUGCUGCCAGACGAUCUGCCACAAAAA
Homo sapiens (human) is the source of this 2349-nucleotide long non-coding RNA. RefSeq lists it as uncharacterized. The record is from RefSeq and is a predicted model, not a curated record. The transcript is spliced from 3 exons. NCBI's taxonomy places the organism in Eukaryota, Metazoa, Chordata, Mammalia, Primates, Hominidae.